Molecule: long non-coding RNA, 227 nt
Filed under: Setaria viridis
Lineage: Eukaryota; Viridiplantae; Streptophyta; Magnoliopsida; Poales; Poaceae
Description: long non-coding RNA (SVIR_LNC002885)
Source: RNAcentral
AAAAGCAGCCAACAUGAGAUUGGCUCAGUACAAGUGCAUUACAGGCAUGGAAAGAAGUAUGUUGGGCUUUAGAUUAGAAAUUAAAUCUUCACCUAAUGUCAUAUGGACUCAAAAGUAGGAGGAAAAUAGUAGAAAGAAAGAGUAUAAUAGAGGCAAUAAACCUUACAAACAGAAGAACAACAUGAAGAACAACCAGAAUAGAAGUGCCACUUCAUCAUUGUCCUACC